AAAAGACCUUCUUCGGAGGGUAUGCUUAAAGAGGGGCUUGCGCCACAUUAGUUAGUUGGUGAGGUAAAGGCUUACCAAGAUUAUGAUGUGUAGCUGGACUGAGAGGUUGAACAGCCACAUUGGGACUGAGACACGGCCCAAACUCCUACGGGAGGCAGCAGUAGGGAAUUUUCGGCAAUGGAGGAAACUCUGACCGAGCGACGCCGCGUGAACGAUGAAGUAUUUCGGUAUGUAAAGUUCUUUUAUUGAAGAAGAAAAAAUAGUGGAAAAACUAUCUUGACGUUAUUCAAUGAAUAAGCCCCGGCUAACUAUGUGCCAGCAGCCGCGGUAAGACAUAGGGGGCGAGCGUUAUCCGGAAUUAUUGGGCGUAAAGGGUGCGUAGGCGGUUAGAUAAGUCUAUAAUUUAAUUUCAGUGCUUAACGCUGUCUUGUUAUAGAAACUGUCUUGACUAGAGUGAGAUAGAGGCAAGCGGAAUUCCAUGUGUAGCGGUAAAAUGUGUAAAUAUAUGGAGGAACACCAGAAGCGUAGGCGGCUUGCUGGGUCUUUACUGACGCUGAGGCACGAAAGCGUGGGGAGCAAACAGGAUUAGAUACCCUGGUAGUCCACGCUGUAAACGAUGAGUACUAAGUGUCGGGGUAACCUCGGUACUGAAGUUAACACAUUAAGUACUCCGCCUGAGUAGUACGUACGCAAGUAUGAAACUUAAAGGAAUUGACGGGACUCCGCACAAGCGGUGGAUCAUGUUGUUUAAUUCGAAGAUACACGAAAAACCUUACCAGGUCUUGACAUACUCUGCAAAGCUAUAGAAAUAUAGUGGAGGUUAUCAGGGAUACAGGUGGUGCAUGGUUGUCGUCAGUUCGUGUCGUGAGAUGUUAGGUUAAGUCCUAAAACGAACGCAACCCCUGUCGCUAGUUGCCAGCACGUAAUGGUGGGGACUUUAGCGAGACUGCCAAUUAAAAAUUGGAGGAAGGUGGGGAUAACGUCAAAUCAUCAUGCCCCUUAUGAUCUGGGCUACAAACGUGAUACAAUGGCUAUUACAAAGAGUAGCUGAAACGCGAGUUUUUAGCCAAUCUCAAAAAGGUAGUCUCAGUACGGAUUGAAGUCUGCAACUCGACUUCAU
Molecule: ribosomal RNA, 1120 nt
Filed under: Candidatus Phytoplasma ulmi
Lineage: Bacteria; Bacillati; Mycoplasmatota; Mollicutes; Acholeplasmatales; Acholeplasmataceae
Description: bacterial SSU rRNA
Rfam family: Bacterial small subunit ribosomal RNA
Source: RNAcentral